Molecule: ribosomal RNA, 406 nt
Filed under: uncultured bacterium
Lineage: Bacteria
Description: partial 16S ribosomal RNA
Rfam family: Bacterial small subunit ribosomal RNA
Source: RNAcentral
AUUGAACGCUGGCGGCAGGCCUAACACAUGCAAGUCGAACGAGUGGCGGACGGGUGAGUAAUGUCUGGGAAACUGCCUGAUGGAGGGGGAUCACUACUGGAAACGGUCGCUAAUACCGCAUACCAUCGGAUGUCCCCAGAUGGGAUUAGCUUGUUGGUGGGUUAACGGCUCACCAAGGCGACGAUCCCUAGCUGGUCUGAGAGGAUGACCAGCCACACUGGAACGGGGACACGGUCCGAACUCCUGCGGGGGGAAGCAGUGGGGAAUAUUGCACAAUGGGCGCAAGCCUGAUGCAGCCAUGCGGGGUGUAUGAAGAGGGCCUGCGGGUUGUAAAGUACUUUCAGCGGGAAGGCGUUACCCGCAGAAGAAGCACCGGCUAACUCCGUGCCAGCAGCCGCGGUAAUAC